GAUGAACGCUAGCGAUAGGCUUAACACAUGCAAGUCGAGGGGCAGCACAAGGUAGCUUGCUAUCUGGGUGGCGACCGGCGCACGGGUGCGUAACGCGUAUGCAACUUGCCCUAUACAGGAGGAUAACCCGUCGAAAGACGGACUAAUACUGCGUAUGCUCACAACUUGGCAUCAAGUGGUGAGGAAAGAAAUUCGGUAUAGGAUAGGCAUGCGUCCCAUUAGCUUGUUGGUGAGGUAACGGCUCACCAAGGCAACGAUGGGUAGGGGAACUGAGAGGUUUAUCCCCCACACUGGUACUGAGACACGGACCAGACUCCUACGGGAAGCAGCAGUGAGGAAUAUUGGUCAAUGGGCGCGAGCCUGAACCAGCCAAGUCGCGUGAAGGAUGACUGUCUUAUGGAUUGUAAACUUCUUUUAUACGGGAAUAACAAGAGUCACGUGUGACUCCCUGCAUGUACCGUAUGAAUAAGCAUCGGCUAACUCCGUG
This 487-nucleotide ribosomal RNA is filed under the name uncultured bacterium. Its description in RNAcentral is "partial 16S ribosomal RNA". It matches the Rfam family "Bacterial small subunit ribosomal RNA", at positions 28 to 507 of the family's 1533-position model. The record is from RNAcentral.